GGGCCCGCACAAGCGGUGGAGCAUGUGGUUUAAUUCGAUGAUACGCGAGGAACCUUACCAGGGCUUAAAUGUAGGUUGCAUGAUCUAGAGAUAGAUCUUUCUUCGGACUACCUACAAGGUGCUGCAUGGUUGUCGUCAGCUCGUGCCGUGAGGUGUCAGGUUAAGUCCUAUAACGAGCGCAACCCCCUGUCGUUAGUUACCAGCAAUUAAAGUUGGGUACUCUAGCGAGACUGCCGGUGCAAACCGUGAGGAAGGUGGGGAUGACGUCAAAUCAUCACGGCCCUUACGUCCUGGGCUACACACGUGCUACAAUGGCCGGUACAGAGAGCAGCCACUACGCGAGUAGGAGCGAAUCCCAAAAAGUGCGUCGUAGUCCGGAUCGGAGUCUGCAACUCGACUCCGUGAAGUCGGAAUCGCUAGUAAUCG
RNAcentral lists this ribosomal RNA (426 nucleotides) under uncultured bacterium. RNAcentral's name for it is "bacterial SSU rRNA". It matches the Rfam family "Bacterial small subunit ribosomal RNA", at positions 917 to 1344 of the family's 1533-position model. The record is from RNAcentral.